Molecule: ribosomal RNA, 700 nt
Filed under: Escherichia coli
Lineage: Bacteria; Pseudomonadati; Pseudomonadota; Gammaproteobacteria; Enterobacterales; Enterobacteriaceae
Description: bacterial LSU rRNA
Rfam family: Bacterial large subunit ribosomal RNA
Source: RNAcentral
CUUUACUAUAGCUUGACACUGAACAUUGAGCCUUGAUGUGUAGGAUAGGUGGGAGGCUUUGAAGUGUGGACGCCAGUCUGCAUGGAGCCGACCUUGAAAUACCACCCUUUAAUGUUUGAUGUUCUAACGUUGACCCGUAAUCCGGGUUGCGGACAGUGUCUGGUGGGUAGUUUGACUGGGGCGGUCUCCUCCUAAAGAGUAACGGAGGAGCACGAAGGUUGGCUAAUCCUGGUCGGACAUCAGGAGGUUAGUGCAAUGGCAUAAGCCAGCUUGACUGCGAGCGUGACGGCGCGAGCAGGUGCGAAAGCAGGUCAUAGUGAUCCGGUGGUUCUGAAUGGAAGGGCCAUCGCUCAACGGAUAAAAGGUACUCCGGGGAUAACAGGCUGAUACCGCCCAAGAGUUCAUAUCGACGGCGGUGUUUGGCACCUCGAUGUCGGCUCAUCACAUCCUGGGGCUGAAGUAGGUCCCAAGGGUAUGGCUGUUCGCCAUUUAAAGUGGUACGCGAGCUGGGUUUAGAACGUCGUGAGACAGUUCGGUCCCUAUCUGCCGUGGGCGCUGGAGAACUGAGGGGGGCUGCUCCUAGUACGAGAGGACCGGAGUGGACGCAUCACUGGUGUUCGGGUUGUCAUGCCAAUGGCACUGCCCGGUAGCUAAAUGCGGAAGAGAUAAGUGCUGAAAGCAUCUAAGCACGAAACUUGCC